AGGAUGAACGCUGGCGGCGUGCCUAACACAUGCAAGUCGAACGUCCUGUCUCGCAAGAGGCAGGGAGUGGCGGACGGGUGAGUACCACGUGGGUCAUCUACCGUGAGGUGAGGAAUACCGGCGAGAAAUCGCCGACAAGACCGCAUAGGCUCGAUGCAAGUCGAGCAAAGCUCUUUCGAGAGAGGGAGCGCCACACGAGGAGCCUGCGCCCGAUUAGCUAGCUGGUGGAGUAACGGUUCACCAGGGCGACGAUCGGUAGCUGGUCUGAGAGGACGAUCAGCCACACUGGGAUUGAGAACGGCCCAGACUCCUACGGGGGCAGCAGUGAGGAAUUUUCGUCAAUGGGGGCAACCCUGAACGAGCAACGCCGCGUGCAGGAAGAAGGUUUUCGGAUCGUAAACUGCUUUUCUCGGGGAAGAGAACGGACGGUACCCGAGGAAUCAGCCCCGGCUAACUACGCGCCAGCAGCCGCGGU
This 475-nucleotide ribosomal RNA is filed under the name uncultured bacterium. RNAcentral's name for it is "SSU rRNA". It matches the Rfam family "Bacterial small subunit ribosomal RNA", at positions 26 to 521 of the family's 1533-position model. The record is from RNAcentral.